Molecule: ribosomal RNA, 531 nt
Filed under: Triticum aestivum (bread wheat)
Lineage: Eukaryota; Viridiplantae; Streptophyta; Magnoliopsida; Poales; Poaceae
Description: partial small subunit ribosomal RNA
Source: RNAcentral
AUGCAAAACCAUAAACUUGGGGAUGCUAAUUUCGGUAUGUCCACUACUAAUUGUAAUGAUCAUGAAUGGGGUGAUUCUUCUUAUGAUCUUGAAAAUUUGUUGAAGCCCCAUGAUAAAUAUGAGAUUGAUAAUAAUGUUUACAAUAAUAUUGAAAGUGGGUUUGGAGAAGUCAUGACUUUAUUUUAUGACAAUCCCACUAUUUUGGAAGAGUGUCAACUUUGCAUGCAUGUGGAUCAUGAAGUGAAUAUUUUAUGUGAUAGAUAUAUUGUUGAAUUUGCUUAUGAUCCUACAUGUAAUUAUUAUGAGAGAGGAAAAUAUGGUUGUAGAAAUUUCCAUGUUACUAAAUUUUCUCUCGUUAUGGUGAGAUUGCUUUUGUUUCUUUCUUCUUCCUUGCAUAUGCUAGAUCUUGCUUGUAUUGCUAAUUUGUUUUCCUAUAAAAUGUCUAUGCAUAGGAAAUAUGUUAGACUUAGAUGUGAUUUUAAUAUGAUACAUGAUGCUCUCUUCGUGUUUCAAUUGCUACCUUUUAUGUGA